GAUGAACGCUGGCGGCGUGCCUAAUACAUGCAAGUCGAGCGAACAGACGAGGAGCUUGCUCCUCUGACGUUAGCGGCGGACGGGUGAGUAACACGUGGAUAACCUACCUAUAAGACUGGGAUAACUUCGGGAAACCGGAGCUAAUACCGGAUAAUAUAUUGAACCGCAUGGUUCAAUAGUGAAAGACGGUUUUGCUGUCACUUAUAGAUGGAUCCGCGCCGAAUUAGCUAGUUGGUAAGGUAACGGCUUACCAAGGCGACGAUGCGUAGCCGACCUGAGAGGGGGAUCGGCCAAACUGGAACUGAGACACGGUCCAGACUCCUACGGGAGGCAGCAGUAGGGAAUCUUCCGCAAUGGGCGAAAGCCUGACGGAGCAACGCCGCGUGAGUGAUGAAGGUCUUCGGAUCGUAAAACUCGGUUAUUAGGGAAGAACAAAUGUGUAAGUAACUAUGCACGUCUUGACGGUACCUAAUCAGAAAGCCACGGCUAACUACGUG
This 497-nucleotide ribosomal RNA is filed under the name uncultured bacterium. Its description in RNAcentral is "partial 16S ribosomal RNA". It matches the Rfam family "Bacterial small subunit ribosomal RNA", at positions 28 to 507 of the family's 1533-position model. The record is from RNAcentral.